Molecule: transfer RNA, 81 nt
Filed under: Muribaculaceae bacterium
Lineage: Bacteria; Pseudomonadati; Bacteroidota; Bacteroidia; Bacteroidales; Muribaculaceae
Description: tRNA-Leu
Source: RNAcentral
GGUCCGGAUCCCGCCGUGAGGCGUGGCCCGGACAUAAGACCCGGAAAGGAGACGGCGGUUCGAUUCCGCCCCGGGUCACCA